This 397-nucleotide ribosomal RNA is filed under the name uncultured bacterium. RNAcentral's name for it is "bacterial SSU rRNA". It matches the Rfam family "Bacterial small subunit ribosomal RNA", at positions 362 to 776 of the family's 1533-position model. The record is from RNAcentral.
UAUUGCACACUGGGGGAAACCCUGAUGCAGCGACGCCGCGCGAAGGAUGAAGUAUUUCGGUAUGUAAACUUCUAUCAGCAGGGAAGAAAAUGACGGUAUCUGACUAAUGAGCCCCGGCUAACUACCUGCCAGCAGCCGCGGUAAUACGUAGGGGGCUAGCGUUAUCCGGAUUUACUGGGUGUAAAGGGAGCGUAGACGGUAUGGCAAGUCUGAUGUGAAAACCCGGGGCUCAACCCCGGGACUGCAUUGGAAACUGUCGGACUAGAGUGUCGGAGAGGCAAGUGGAAUUCCUAGUGUAGCGGUGAAAUGCGUAGAUAUUAGGAGGAACACCAGUGGCGAAGGCGGCUUGCUGGACGAUGACUGACGUUGAGGCUCGAAAGCGUGGGGAGCAAACAGG